This 498-nucleotide ribosomal RNA is filed under the name uncultured Methanosaeta sp. RNAcentral's name for it is "bacterial SSU rRNA". It matches the Rfam family "Archaeal small subunit ribosomal RNA", at positions 842 to 1338 of the family's 1478-position model. The record is from RNAcentral. Lineage: Archaea; Methanobacteriati; Methanobacteriota; Methanomicrobia; Methanotrichales; Methanotrichaceae.
GCCCGCUCAGAAACUUAAAGGAAGUUGGACGGGGAGCACUACGAACGGGUGGAGCCUGCGGUUUAAUUGGAUUCAACGCCGGAAAUCUCACCGGGGCGACAGCAAUAUGAAGGUCAGGCUGAAGACCUUACCCGAUUAGCUGAGAGGUGGUGCAUGGCCGUCGUCAGUUCGUACUGUGAAGCAUCCUGUUAAGUCAGGCAACGAGCGAGACCCACGUCCACAGUUGCCAGCAUACCCUCCGGGGUGAUGGGUACACUGUGGAGACCGCCGCUGCUAAAGCGGAGGAAGGAGUGGGCAACGGUAGGUCAGUAUGCCCCGAAUCUCCCGGGCUACACGCGGGCUACAAUGGUUGGUACAAUGGGCAUCUACCCCGAAAGGGGAAGGAAAUCUCUUAAAGCCAAUCGUAGUUCGGAUUGAGGGCUGCAACUCGCCCUCAUGAAGCUGGAAUCCGUAGUAAUCGCGUUUCAACAGAACGCGGUGAAUACGUCCCUGCUCCUU